Molecule: ribosomal RNA, 847 nt
Filed under: Actinomyces sp. C162
Lineage: Bacteria; Bacillati; Actinomycetota; Actinomycetes; Actinomycetales; Actinomycetaceae
Description: bacterial SSU rRNA
Rfam family: Bacterial small subunit ribosomal RNA
Source: RNAcentral
AAGUCGAACGGUGAAGGGACCAGCUUGCUGGUUCUGGAUGAGUGGCGAACGGGUGAGUAACACGUGAGUAACCUGCCCCCUUCUUCUGGAUAACCGCAUGAAAGUGUGGCUAAUACGGGAUAUUCUGGGUCUGUCGCAUGACGGGCCCGGGAAAGAUAUUGCUUCGGUGGGGGAUGGGCUCGCGGCCUAUCAGCUUGUUGGUGGGGUGAUGGCCUACCAAGGCGGUGACGGGUAGCCGGCCUGAGAGGGUGGACGGUCACACUGGGACUGAGACACGGCCCAGACUCCUACGGGAGGCAGCAGUGGGGAAUAUUGCACAAUGGGCGCAAGCCUGAUGCAGCGACGCCGCGUGAGGGAUGGAGGCCUUCGGGUUGUAAACCUCUUUCGCCAGUGAAGCAGGCCUGCUCCUUGUGGGUGGGUUGACGGUAGCUGGAUAAGAAGCGCCGGCUAACUACGUGCCAGCAGCCGCGGUAAUACGUAGGGCGCGAGCGUUGUCCGGAAUUAUUGGGCGUAAAGAGCUCGUAGGCGGCUGGUCGCGUCUGUCGUGAAAUCCUCUGGCUUAACUGGGGGCUUGCGGUGGGUACGGGCCGGCUUGAGUGCGGUAGGGGAGACUGGAACUCCUGGUGUAGCGGUGGAAUGCGCAGAUAUCAGGAAGAACACCGGUGGCGAAGGCGGGUCUCUGGGCCGUUACUGACGCUGAGGAGCGAAAGCGUGGGGAGCGAACAGGAUUAGAUACCCUGGUAGUCCACGCCGUAAACGUUGGGCACUAGGUGUGGGGGGCCUUUUCCGGGUCUUCCGCGCCGUAGCUAACGCAUUAAGUGCCCCGCCUGGGGAGUACGGCCGCAAG